This 100-nucleotide transfer RNA is filed under the name Candidatus Heimdallarchaeota archaeon LC_3. RNAcentral describes it as "tRNA-Val". It matches the Rfam family "tRNA". Rfam says of the family: Transfer RNA (tRNA) molecules are approximately 80 nucleotides in length. Their secondary structure includes four short double-helical elements and three loops (D, anti-codon, and T loops). Lineage: Archaea; Promethearchaeati; Candidatus Heimdallarchaeota. The record is from RNAcentral.
GGGCUGGUAGUUUAGCACGGCUAUAACGCUUCCCUCACAUUCAUUUACUUUUAUGAAGAGGAUACGGAAGAAAUCGAGCGUUCAAAUCGCUCUCAGCUCA